AUGAACGCUGGCGGCAGGCCUAACACAUGCAAGUCGAACGGGCACUUUCGGGUGCUAGUGGCGGACGGGUGAGUAACGCGUGGGAACAUACCCUAUGGUUCGGAAUAGCCCCGGGAAACUGGGAGUAAUACCGGAUACGCCCUUCGGGGGAAAGAUUUAUCGCCAAAGGAUUGGCCCGCGUUGGAUUAGGUAGUUGGUGGGGUAAUGGCCUACCAAGCCGACGAUCCAUAGCUGGUUUGAGAGGAUGAUCAGCCACACUGGGACUGAGACACGGCCCAGACUCCUACGGGAGGCAGCAGUGGGGAAUCUUAGACAAUGGGGGAAACCCUGAUCUAGCCAUGCCGCGUGAUCGAUGAAGGCCUUAGGGUUGUAAAGAUCUUUCAGAUGGGAAGAUAAUGACGGUACCAUCAGAAGAAGCCCCGGCUAACUCCGU
Molecule: ribosomal RNA, 433 nt
Filed under: uncultured bacterium
Lineage: Bacteria
Description: bacterial SSU rRNA
Rfam family: Bacterial small subunit ribosomal RNA
Source: RNAcentral